CCCUGUCUGGAUACCUCUCUACUCACCUACACACAACACCAUCUCUCUCCGCUGAAUUGUCGUCGUUGUCGACUGCUCGGCAGUUUCCGUCGCCGGUUUCCGACAAUAUUAGAGUAGACUUGUCUUCCCUUUGAGUAAUCCUGGCCUGAGGGAUAGCACGGGCAAGGAGAAGGCGAAUGAGUAAAGUGAUCUAGUACGGCAUUUUGGAUUUUAAGGUGAUCCGAUCUUCUGUCUGCACCCUGAAUGGGUGAUUUGUGCGGAGUUCCUUGAGGACAAAAAUCUGCUUAUGUUUCUGAUCUGUUCCGAGUACCCUGGUCUGUCACUAAGCACUUAAUGGGAAUAUAUGUGUUAUGAUUAGUGAUUGUGUAAAACCUAUGUUAUAACUCUGAUAUAUUUGGUACACGAGAUCAGGUUUCGUUAUACGUGUUUUGGAUAUGUGGAAGGUUGAUGAUAUGUAUAUGUGUUGGUGUGUAGAUAAUAGUGUAAAUGAAUAGGUUGCAUAAUGUUUACUUAACUCCGGAAAUUAGACUCUAAUGUUGAGUAUACUACUGGGCUUGUUGAAGCACAUUCCUUUCUACUCACCUACACACAACACCAUCUCUCUCCGCUGAAUUGUCGUCGUUGUCGACUGCUCGGCAGUUUCCGUCGCCGGUUUCCGACAAUAUUAGAGUAGACUUGUCUUCCCUUUGAGUAAGCAAGUCCCUCACCUUUCGAAUUUGUUCAAUUUCUGCAUCAUCUUAAAGCUAGGGUUCUUAAAUUGGUUUCUCCCCAAUUUGAAUUUAAAUAAAAUUAGAGUAUAUAGUUGGAUUAUCUUAGAUAGUAGGUUUUUGGAGGUUGCAAAUAUAUAUUAUGUUGUGGUGAAAGAAACAAAGGAGAUAGCCUUUUGUGUCAUGUUCUGGCCGAAUUUGUCAACUCCAGUUUAACCAAGUAAACGAUCUCUUUUUCUUACGAAAUUUUAACUGAACAUACAUUUAGGUGUCUUCUGCUAUGUGGCCAAAUUUCAGCUUCAUCCGAAUUGAAAUGAAUUUAUAAUGAAUUUUGAAAGGGGACUGCGCAGUUCAGCUACGUUUGGAUAUAUUUUUGCUGUUUUCAGCUGCUGGUUUUGAAGUUUUCGACACCCUUAGAGUGUUGCAAAUUGUAUUUUCAAAUUUUCUGUAUGAACCUUGAUGUGUUGGAGAGCUCUCUGUAAAAUUUCAACUGAUUUGGAUGUCAUUUACUAUUUUUAGAAAAUCUCCAAACACAGCUGCUAGAACCUGUCGGGUAGUGAUAGACAGUGGGAAAAUGGCCAUAUCUCCCAACCUACUUGGAAAUUUUGAGAGAACUUUGUUUUAAACUUUAACUAGACACCAAGGGGAUUCUUUUGGUAUAGGGCUUGACCUCUUAUACUCCGUGCAAAAGAAGUAACUAAAGAGAACUUGUUUAUUGCUUAAGCUAUUUUUUUGGUGUUGUGUUGAUAAGAAUUAUUUAUUGAAAGGUAAUCCUGGCCUGAGGGAUAGCACGGGCAAGGAGAAGGCGAAUGAGUAAAGUGAUCUAGUACGGCAUUUUGGAUUUUAAGGUGAUCCGAUCUUCUGUCUGCACCCUGAAUGGGUGAUUUGUGCGGAGUUCCUUGAGGACAAAAAUCUGCUUAUGUUUCUGAUCUGUUCCGAGUACCCUGGUCUGUCACUAAGCACUUAAUGGGAAUAUAUGUGUUAUGAUUAGUGAUUGUGUAAAACCUAUGUUAUAACUCUGAUAUAUUUGGUACACGAGAUCAGGUUUCGUUAUACGUGUUUUGGAUAUGUGGAAGGUUGAUGAUAUGUAUAUGUGUUGGUGUGUAGAUAAUAGUGUAAAUGAAUAGGUUGCAUAAUGUUUACUUAACUCCGGAAAUUAGACUCUAAUGUUGAGUAUACUACUGGGCUUGUUGAAGCUCAUUCCUUUCUACUCACCUACACACAACACCAUCUCUCUCCGCUGAAUUGUCGUCGUUGUCGACUGCUCGGCAGUUUCCGUCGCCGGUUUCCGACAAUAUUAGAGUAGACUUGUCUUCCCUUUGAGUAAGCAAGUCCCUCACCUUUCGAAUUUGUUCAAUUUCUGCAUCAUCUUAAAGCUAGGGUUCUUAAAUUGGUUUCUCCCCAAUUUGAAUUUAAAUAAAAUUAGAGUAUAUAGUUGGAUUAUCUUAGAUAGUAGGUUUUUGGAGGUUGCAAAUAUAUAUUAUGUUGUGGUGAAAGAAACAAAGGAGAUAGCCUUUUGUGUCAUGUUCUGGCCGAAUUUGUCAACUCCAGUUUAACCAAGUAAACGAUCUCUUUUUCUUACGAAAUUUUAACUGAACAUACAUUUAGGUGUCUUCUGCUAUGUGGCCAAAUUUCAGCUUCAUCCGAAUUGAAAUGAAUUUAUAAUGAAUUUUGAAAGGGGACUGCGCAGUUCAGCUACGUUUGGAUAUAUUUUUGCUGUUUUCAGCUGCUGGUUUUGAAGUUUUCGACACCCUUAGAGUGUUGCAAAUUGUAUUUUCAAAUUUUCUGUAUGAACCUUGAUGUGUUGGAGAGCUCUCUGUAAAAUUUCAACUGAUUUGGAUGUCAUUUACUAUUUUUAGAAAAUCUCCAAACACAGCUGCUAGAACCUGUCGGGUAGUGAUAGACAGUGGGAAAAUGGCCAUAUCUCCCAACCUACUUGGAAAUUUUGAGAGAACUUUGUUUUAAAAUUUAACUAGACACCAAGGGGAUUCUUUUGGUAUAGGGCUUGACCUCUUAUACUCCGUGCAAAAGAAGUAACUAAAGAGAACUUGUUUAUUGCUUAAGCUAUUUUUUUGGUGUUGUGUUGAUAAGAAUUAUUUAUUGAAAGGUAAUCCUGGCCUGAGGGAUAGCACGGGCAAGGAGAAGGCGAAUGAGUAAAGUGAUCUAGUACGGCAUUUUGGAUUUUAAGGUGAUCCGAUCUUCUGUCUGCACCCUGAAUGGGUGAUUUGUGCGGAGUUCCUUGAGGACAAAAAUCUGCUUAUGUUUCUGAUCUGUUCCGAGUACCCUGGUCUGUCACUAAGCACUUAAUGGGAAUAUAUGUGUUAUGAUUAGUGAUUGUGUAAAACCUAUGUUAUAACUCUGAUAUAUUUGGUACACGAGAUCAGGUUUCGUUAUACGUGUUUUGGAUAUGUGGAAGGUUGAUGAUAUGUAUAUGUGUUGGUGUGUAGAUAAUAGUGUAAAUGAAUAGGUUGCAUAAUGUUUACUUAACUCCGGAAAUUAGACUCUAAUGUUGAGUAUACUACUGGGCUUGUUGAAGCACAUUCCUUUCUACUCACCUACACACAACACCAUCUCUCUCCGCUGAAUUGUCGUCGUUGUCGACUGCUCGGCAGUUUCCGUCGCCGGUUUCCGACAAUAUUAGAGUAGACUUGUCUUCCCUUUGAGUAAGCAAGUCCCUCACCUUUCGAAUUUGUUCAAUUUCUGCAUCAUCUUAAAGCUAGGGUUCUUAAAUUGGUUUCUCCCCAAUUUGAAUUUAAAUAAAAUUAGAGUAUAUAGUUGGAUUAUCUUAGAUAGUAGGUUUUUGGAGGUUGCAAAUAUAUAUUAUGUUGUGGUGAAAGAAACAAAGGAGAUAGCCUUUUGUGUCAUGUUCUGGCCGAAUUUGUCAACUCCAGUUUAACCAAGUAAACGAUCUCUUUUUCUUACGAAAUUUUAACUGAACAUACAUUUAGGUGUCUUCUGCUAUGUGGCCAAAUUUCAGCUUCAUCCGAAUUGAAAUGAAUUUAUAAUGAAUUUUGAAAGGGGACUGCGCAGUUCAGCUACGUUUGGAUAUAUUUUUGCUGUUUUCAGCUGCUGGUUUUGAAGUUUUCGACACCCUUAGAGUGUUGCAAAUUGUAUUUUCAAAUUUUCUGUAUGAACCUUGAUGUGUUGGAGAGCUCUCUGUAAAAUUUCAACUGAUUUGGAUGUCAUUUACUAUUUUUAGAAAAUCUCCAAACACAGCUGCUAGAACCUGUCGGGUAGUGAUAGACAGUGGGAAAAUGGCCAUAUCUCCCAACCUACUUGGAAAUUUUGAGAGAACUUUGUUUUAAACUUUAACUAGACACCAAGGGGAUUCUUUUGGUAUAGGGCUUGACCUCUUAUACUCCGUGCAAAAGAAGUAACUAAAGAGAACUUGUUUAUUGCUUAAGCUAUUUUUUUGGUGUUGUGUUGAUAAGAAUUAUUUAUUGAAAGGUAAUCCUGGCCUGAGGGAUAGCACGGGCAAGGAGAAGGCGAAUGAGUAAAGUGAUCUAGUACGGCAUUUUGGAUUUUAAGGUGAUCCGAUCUUCUGUCUGCACCCUGAAUGGGUGAUUUGUGCGGAGUUCCUUGAGGACAAAAAUCUGCUUAUGUUUCUGAUCUGUUCCGAGUACCCUGGUCUGUCACUAAGCACUUAAUGGGAAUAUAUGUGUUAUGAUUAGUGAUUGUGUAAAACCUAUGUUAUAACUCUGAUAUAUUUGGUACACGAGAUCAGGUUUCGUUAUACGUGUUUUGGAUAUGUGGAAGGUUGAUGAUAUGUAUAUGUGUUGGUGUGUAGAUAAUAGUGUAAAUGAAUAGGUUGCAUAAUGUUUACUUAACUCCGGAAAUUAGACUCUAAUGUUGAGUAUACUACUGGGCUUGUUGAAGCUCAUUCCUUUCUACUCACCUACACACAACACCAUCUCUCUCCGCUGAAUUGUCGUCGUUGUCGACUGCUCGGCAGUUUCCGUCGCCGGUUUCCGACAAUAUUAGAGUAGACUUGUCUUCCCUUUGAGUAAGCAAGUCCCUCACCUUUCGAAUUUGUUCAAUUUCUGCAUCAUCUUAAAGCUAGGGUUCUUAAAUUGGUUUCUCCCCAAUUUGAAUUUAAAUAAAAUUAGAGUAUAUAGUUGGAUUAUCUUAGAUAGUAGGUUUUUGGAGGUUGCAAAUAUAUAUUAUGUUGUGGUGAAAGAAACAAAGGAGAUAGCCUUUUGUGUCAUGUUCUGGCCGAAUUUGUCAACUCCAGUUUAACCAAGUAAACGAUCUCUUUUUCUUACGAAAUUUUAACUGAACAUACAUUUAGGUGUCUUCUGCUAUGUGGCCAAAUUUCAGCUUCAUCCGAAUUGAAAUGAAUUUAUAAUGAAUUUUGAAAGGGGACUGCGCAGUUCAGCUACGUUUGGAUAUAUUUUUGCUGUUUUCAGCUGCUGGUUUUGAAGUUUUCGACACCCUUAGAGUGUUGCAAAUUGUAUUUUCAAAUUUUCUGUAUGAACCUUGAUGUGUUGGAGAGCUCUCUGUAAAAUUUCAACUGAUUUGGAUGUCAUUUACUAUUUUUAGAAAAUCUCCAAACACAGCUGCUAGAACCUGUCGGGUAGUGAUAGACAGUGGGAAAAUGGCCAUAUCUCCCAACCUACUUGGAAAUUUUGAGAGAACUUUGUUUUAAAAUUUAACUAGACACCAAGGGGAUUCUUUUGGUAUAGGGCUUGACCUCUUAUACUCCGUGCAAAAGAAGUAACUAAAGAGAACUUGUUUAUUGCUUAAGCUAUUUUUUUGGUGUUGUGUUGAUAAGAAUUAUUUAUUGAAAGGUAAUCCUGGCCUGAGGGAUAGCACGGGCAAGGAGAAGGCGAAUGAGUAAAGUGAUCUAGUACGGCAUUUUGGAUUUUAAGGUGAUCCGAUCUUCUGUCUGCACCCUGAAUGGGUGAUUUGUGCGGAGUUCCUUGAGGACAAAAAUCUGCUUAUGUUUCUGAUCUGUUCCGAGUACCCUGCACAUUCCUUUCUACUCACCUACACACAACACCAUCUCUCUCCGCUGAAUUGUCGUCGUUGUCGACUGCUCGGCAGUUUCCGUCGCCGGUUUCCGACAAUAUUAGAGUAGACUUGUCUUCCCUUUGAGUAAUCCUGGCCUGAGGGAUAGCACGGGCAAGGAGAAGGCGAAUGAGUAAAGUGAUCUAGUACGGCAUUUUGGAUUUUAAGGUAAUCCUGGCCUGAGGGAUAGCACGGGCAAGGAGAAGGCGAAUGAGUAAAGUGAUCUAGUACGGCAUUUGGAUUUUAAGGUAAUCCUGGCCUGAGGGAUAGCACGGGCAAGGAGAAGGCGAAUGAGUAAAGUGAUCUAGUACGGCAUUUUGGAUUUUAAGGUGAUCCGAUCUUCUGUCUGCACCCUGAAUGGGUGAUUUGUGCGGAGUUCCUUGAGGACAAAAAUCUGCUUAUGUUUCUGAUCUGUUCCGAGUACCCUGGUCUGUCACUAAGCACUUAAUGGGAAUAUAUGUGUUAUGAUUAGUGAUUGUGUAAAACCUAUGUUAUAACUCUGAUAUAUUUGGUACACGAGAUCAGGUUUCGUUAUACGUGUUUUGGAUAUGUGGAAGGUUGAUGAUAUGUAUAUGUGUUGGUGUGUAGAUAAUAGUGUAAAUGAAUAGGUUGCAUAAUGUUUACUUAACUCCGGAAAUUAGACUCUAAUGUUGAGUAUACUACUGGGCUUGUUGAAGCACAUUCCUUUCUACUCACCUACACACAACACCAUCUCUCUCCGCUGAAUUGUCGUCGUUGUCGACUGCUCGGCAGUUUCCGUCGCCGGUUUCCGACAAUAUUAGAGUAGACUUGUCUUCCCUUUGAGUAAGCAAGUCCCUCACCUUUCGAAUUUGUUCAAUUUCUGCAUCAUCUUAAAGCUAGGGUUCUUAAAUUGGUUUCUCCCCAAUUUGAAUUUAAAUAAAAUUAGAGUAUAUAGUUGGAUUAUCUUAGAUAGUAGGUUUUUGGAGGUUGCAAAUAUAUAUUAUGUUGUGGUGAAAGAAACAAAGGAGAUAGCCUUUUGUGUCAUGUUCUGGCCGAAUUUGUCAACUCCAGUUUAACCAAGUAAACGAUCUCUUUUUCUUACGAAAUUUUAACUGAACAUACAUUUAGGUGUCUUCUGCUAUGUGGCCAAAUUUCAGCUUCAUCCGAAUUGAAAUGAAUUUAUAAUGAAUUUUGAAAGGGGACUGCGCAGUUCAGCUACGUUUGGAUAUAUUUUUGCUGUUUUCAGCUGCUGGUUUUGAAGUUUUCGACACCCUUAGAGUGUUGCAAAUUGUAUUUUCAAAUUUUCUGUAUGAACCUUGAUGUGUUGGAGAGCUCUCUGUAAAAUUUCAACUGAUUUGGAUGUCAUUUACUAUUUUUAGAAAAUCUCCAAACACAGCUGCUAGAACCUGUCGGGUAGUGAUAGACAGUGGGAAAAUGGCCAUAUCUCCCAACCUACUUGGAAAUUUUGAGAGAACUUUGUUUUAAACUUUAACUAGACACCAAGGGGAUUCUUUUGGUAUAGGGCUUGACCUCUUAUACUCCGUGCAAAAGAAGUAACUAAAGAGAACUUGUUUAUUGCUUAAGCUAUUUUUUUGGUGUUGUGUUGAUAAGAAUUAUUUAUUGAAAGGUAAUCCUGGCCUGAGGGAUAGCACGGGCAAGGAGAAGGCGAAUGAGUAAAGUGAUCUAGUACGGCAUUUUGGAUUUUAAGGUGAUCCGAUCUUCUGUCUGCACCCUGAAUGGGUGAUUUGUGCGGAGUUCCUUGAGGACAAAAAUCUGCUUAUAUUUCUGAUCUGUUCCGAGUACCCUGGUCUGUCACUAAGCACUUAAUGGGAAUAUAUGUGUUAUGAUUAGUGAUUGUGUAAAACCUAUGUUAUAACUCUGAUAUAUUUGGUACACGAGAUCAGGUUUCGUUAUACGUGUUUUGGAUAUGUGGAAGGUUGAUGAUAUGUAUAUGUGUUGGUGUGUAGAUAAUAGUGUAAAUGAAUAGGUUGCAUAAUGUUUACUUAACUCCGGAAAUUAGACUCUAAUGUUGAGUAUACUACUGGGCUUGUUGAAGCUCAUUCCUUUCUA
Molecule: long non-coding RNA, 7745 nt
Organism: Salvia splendens (bonfire salvia)
Lineage: Eukaryota; Viridiplantae; Streptophyta; Magnoliopsida; Lamiales; Lamiaceae
Exons: 13
Source: RefSeq, a predicted model, not a curated record